UACGUAGGGGGCAAGCGUUGUCCGGAAUCAUUGGGCGUAAAGCGCGUGUAGGCGGUUCGGUAAGUCGGCUGUGAAAGUCCAGGGCUCAACCCUGGGAUGCCGGUCGAUACUGCCGGACUAGAGUUCGGAAGAGGCGAGUGGAAUUCCCGGUGUAGCGGUGAAAUGCGCAGAUAUCGGGAGGAACACCAAUGGCGAAGGCAGCUCGCUGGGACGUUACUGACGCUGAGACGCGAAAGCGUGGGGAGCAAAUAGG
RNAcentral lists this ribosomal RNA (253 nucleotides) under uncultured bacterium. RNAcentral describes it as "partial 16S ribosomal RNA". It matches the Rfam family "Bacterial small subunit ribosomal RNA", at positions 524 to 776 of the family's 1533-position model. The record is from RNAcentral.